GACGAACGCUGGCGGCGUGCUUAACACAUGCAAGUCGAACGGAAAGGCCCUGCUUUUGUGGGGUGCUCGAGUGGCGAACGGGUGAGUAACACGUGAGUAACCUGCCCUUGACUUUGGGAUAACUUCAGGAAACUGGGGCUAAUACCGGAUAGGAGCUCCUGCUGCAUGGUGGGGGUUGGAAAGUUUCGGCGGUUGGGGAUGGACUCGCGGCUUAUCAGCUUGUUGGUGGGGUAGUGGCUUACCAAGGCUUUGACGGGUAGCCGGCCUGAGAGGGUGACCGGCCACAUUGGGACUGAGAUACGGACCAGACUCCUACGGGAGGCAGCAGUGGGGAAUAUUGGACAAUGGGCGGAAGCCUGAUGCAGCAACGCCGCGUGCGGGAUGACGGCCUUCGGGUUGUAAACCGCUUUCGCCUGUGACGAAGCGUGAGUGACGGUAAUGGGUAAAGAAGCACCGGCUAACUACGUG
RNAcentral lists this ribosomal RNA (468 nucleotides) under uncultured bacterium. RNAcentral describes it as "partial 16S ribosomal RNA". It matches the Rfam family "Bacterial small subunit ribosomal RNA", at positions 28 to 507 of the family's 1533-position model. The record is from RNAcentral.